RNAcentral lists this ribosomal RNA (250 nucleotides) under uncultured bacterium. RNAcentral describes it as "partial 16S ribosomal RNA". It matches the Rfam family "Bacterial small subunit ribosomal RNA", at positions 524 to 773 of the family's 1533-position model. The record is from RNAcentral.
UACGAAGGUGGCAAGCGUUACUCGGAAUUACUAGGCGUAAAGGGCAGGUAGGUGGUUUGGUAUGUCUAUUGUGAAAGCUCCUGGCUUAACCGGGAGAGGCCAAUGGAAACUACCAGACUUGAGUGUGGGAGAGGGUACUGGAAUUCCCGGUGUAGCGGUGAAAUGCGCAGAGAUCGGGAGGAACACCAAAGGCGAAAGCAGGUACCUGGACCAUUACUGACACUGAGCUGCGAAAGCUAGGGGAGCAAAC